CAACAAAGAAACUUACUUGAAUUUGACAGAUGAUAACACACAAUCCAUUAAGAUUAUUACAUUUCUCUUUGGUGUGUAAAAACAAUUCAACCACACUCCUUUCCCUAUAAAAGGACCAGAAUGCUGAACUCCUCACCAUAUAUAACUCAGAACAAUCUGCAGCAAAUUCUUGUGCAACAAUGGCUAAAGUUCAGAUCUUCUUCAUGUUGACCAUUGCAGCACUUUUGUCAGUGGGAACGUUAGCUGAUAAGUUUGGUAGGAAAGAAUGCUAUGAGAUACAUCCAGAAAUCCUGUGUGAAAAUGGGGACACUUCCAAAUGUUCGGAUUUCUGCAAGAAAAAGUUUGGGCCUUCCACGACUGUGCAAUGUAUUGAAAAUGUAGGCUUUCAGGGUCCUUUCUGCGUUUGCAAUGCCUGCUGACGGCCGCCUGCUGUGUAGCUGAAGAGCACAGCACAGCUGCUUUAGCCUCCCUUCUUAUGAUGUACUCUGUAUCUUGAUCUUCAAGCAAUGCAUCAUGUUCUUGAA
Sesamum indicum (sesame) is the source of this 524-nucleotide long non-coding RNA. RefSeq lists it as uncharacterized. The record is from RefSeq and is a predicted model, not a curated record. NCBI's taxonomy places the organism in Eukaryota, Viridiplantae, Streptophyta, Magnoliopsida, Lamiales, Pedaliaceae.